UGAGUUUGAUCCUGGCUCAGGACGAACGCUGGCGGCGGGCUUCAUACAUGCAAGUCGAACGAGAACGUAUUCUUCGGAAUGCAAGUACAGUGGCGCACGGGUGAGUAACGCGUAGGCAACCUGCCCUUGAGUGGGGAAUAACCAUCGGAAACGGUGGCUAAUACCGCAUAUGGUCGCAUAUCUUAUGGUAGGCGAUAAAAGUCUUCGGACGCUCAGGGAUGGGCCUGCGUCGGAUUAGCUUGUAGGUAGGGUAACGGCCUACCUAGGCUACGAUCCGUAGCUGGUCUGAGAGGACGAUCAGCCACACUGGCACUGAGACACGGGCCAGACUUCUACGGAAGGCAGCAGUAGGGAAUAUUGGGCAAUGGGCGAAAGCCUGACCCAGCCACGCCGCGUGGAGGAAGACACCCCUAUGGGGCGUAAACUCCUUUUAUACGGGAAGAACACCUCCCUCAGGGAGGCUUGACGGUACCGUAUGAAUAAGCACCGGCUAACUCCGUGCCAGCAGCCGCGGUAAUACGAAGGGUGCAAGCGUUGUCCGGAUUCACUGGGUGUAAAGGGUGUGUAGGCGGGGCGGUAUGUCAGAGGUGAAAGCCCACGGCUCAACCGUGGAAUUGCCUUUGAAACUGCCGUUCUUGAGUCUCGGAGAGGUCGCUGGAAUUCGUGGUGUAGCGGUGAAAUGCGUAGAUAUCACGAGGAACACCAGAGGCGUAGGCGGGCGACUGGACGAGUACUGACGCUGAGGCACGAAAGCGUGGGGAGCGAACAGGAUUAGAUACCCUGGUAGUCCACGCCGUAACGAUGGAUGCUCGGUGUUGGCCCUCAUGUGGGGUCAGCGCCCAAGCUAACGCGUUAAGCAUCCCACCUGGGGAGU
This 874-nucleotide ribosomal RNA is filed under the name uncultured Bacteroidota bacterium. Its description in RNAcentral is "bacterial SSU rRNA". It matches the Rfam family "Bacterial small subunit ribosomal RNA", at positions 1 to 881 of the family's 1533-position model. The record is from RNAcentral. Lineage: Bacteria; Pseudomonadati; Bacteroidota.